This 2344-nucleotide long non-coding RNA is filed under the name Mytilus galloprovincialis (Mediterranean mussel). Lineage: Eukaryota; Metazoa; Mollusca; Bivalvia; Mytilida; Mytilidae. The record is from RNAcentral.
UGGGUAAUAUUUUCAUAAAGUUUCAUCCAGUUGGGUCUUAUAACGACAGAGUUAGAAUUUUUGAUAUUUUAGCUGUUUCCAUGGUAACGGUAGCCAUUUUGAAAAUUCCAAGAUCAAAAUGCAGCUCAAGCCAUGCCUGUUAAUAUUUAAGUGAAGUUUCGUGCAGUUUGGAACACUUUGAAUAUUUUCGGAUUUUUGCUGUUUCCAUGGAAACGGCAGCCAUUUUGACCAUUCCAAAGUCAGGUGCACAACUUCAGAUGCUGGUGCACAUUGUGGUAUACUUCCAUCAACAUUGGUCAACUCAAUUCCAAGAAACUGCGUGGACAAAAUGUGUGGAAGAAGAAUAAGAAAAAAAAGAAUCGAUGAAUAACAAUACGUCACCCCAACUCCGUUGAGGGUGCCAUAACUAGAUUUGCCAUUGCAAGCAAUAGCGGAUGGCACCCUUUCCCCAUUGCCAGGCCAGCGGCAGCCAUUUAGAAAAUUUUUGCUGUUUCCAUGGCAACGGCGGCCAUUUUGAAAAUUCGAAACUCAAAAGUUAAGUCUACAUAAGCUAGGCAAAAUUUGUUAUAAGUUUCAUUAAAUUUAAAGCAUUUUAAAGUUUUUCAUAAUUUUGCUGUUCCCAUGGUAACGGCGGCCAUUUUGAAUAUUCCAAAGUCAAACCCCCGCUGCAAUUUUUGCCCUCCAUAAUCAUAUAUACCAUUUAAUGUCUCUAGAAUAAAUUUAACAUUGAUGUUCUGGAAUGUUCUGUGAAAAUUCAAAGUUUUGACCUUUUUGCAUUGUUUCCAUGGUAACAACAGAUAUUUUGGAAAUUCCAACGCCAAAUUCCACAUCUUCCAAUGUUGCUCAUCGUUACUGUGAAGUUUCAUGAAGUUUGGAGCAUUUUGAUAUUUUUGAAAUUUUUGGUGUAGUUUCCAUGGCAACAUAGUAGUUCCAAUGAGUGCCAAAAUCAUCCAACACCUGUAUAUGGCCGGCACCUACAUUGUAUCAAAAUAUAAUGUUUCUGAGUUUAAGCAUAUCAAAACAGUUCACCAAAACAAAAAAACAGGAUUUUUUCACAUUUGUUUCGUUUCCAUGGCAACGGCAGCCAUCUUGAUGAUGCCAUACCCCACUGCACUAUUUAAUGUGGUGGUCAACAUUAUGGUAUAGUUCCAUCAAUAUUGUUCAAGUCAAUUCUGAGAAAUAGAAUGGACAAAAAAGUGUGGAAGAAUAAAAAUAAUAAUAAUAUGAAAAAAAGAAACGAACAAUAACAAUAUGUCACCCCAACUCCGUUGAGGGUGCCAUAAAAAGAAUCGUACAAUAACAAUAUGUCACCCGACCUCCGUCAGGGUGACAUAAUAAUAAGAAAAAAAGAAACGUAGAAUAACAAUACGUCACCCCAACUCCGUUGAGGGUGCCAUAACUAGAAUUGCCAUUGCAAGCAAUAGCGGAUGUCACCCUUCCCCCAAUUGCCACUAAGCGGCAGCCAUUUCAAAAUUGUUUAACAGUGAAUGCACAUAUAUGCAUGGCAAUACAUCUUUCUGUAAAUUUUCAGUACAUUGAGAGCAUUUUUAAAAAAAUUUCACAUUUCUGCUGUUUCCAUGGCAACGGCAGCCAUUUUGAAAAUUUCAAAGUCAAAAGUCUCAUCUUUACUUGCCAGUUAACAAUAAUAUCAAGUUUCAUUAAGUUCAAAGCAUUUUGAGAAUUUUGACUUUUUUGCAGUUUCCAUGGCAACGGUGGCCAUUUUGGAAAUUCCAAAGUCAAAAGUCUCAUCCAGACUUGCCAGUCAACAAUCAUAUUAAGUUUGAUCAAUUUAGGAGCAUUUUGAAAUUUUUGAAAUAUUUGGUCCUGUAUCCAUGGUAACAGAAGAGUUCCAAUGAUUGUCAAAAUCAUUCAAAAGCUGUAUAUAGUGGACAACUAUAUUGUGUAAAAAUUUGAUGAUUUCAAGUUCUAGCAUACCAAAAUUAUUUACCAAACCCUGAGGUUUUUAGAGCAUUUUGACACUUAUGCACUGUUUCCAUGGUAACGGCAGACAUUUUGGAAAUUCCAACGCCAAAUUACGCAUCUACCAAAGUUGCUCAUCGUUACUAUGAAGUUUCAAAAAAUUUGGAGCAUUUUGAAAUUUUUGAAAUUUUUGGGGUAGUUUCCAUGGCAACAUAGUGGUUCCAAUGAUUGCCAAUAUCAUCCAAAACCAAUAUAUGGCUGGCACCUACAUUGUGAUAAAAUAUGAUGAUUCUGAGUUUAAGCAUCUCUAAAUUAUUCACAAAACCAAAAAGUGGAAUUUUUCACAAUUGUUCCGUUUCCAUGGAAACGGCAGCCAUUUUUUAUGGUCUUAGACCCUACUGCAACCCGAAAUUUUGUGUUCCUC